UCUUCGCUCCAUCCUGUUCUUUGCUUUCCUCUCACUUGUUUAAUCAAUCAAUAAACCUCAUCAUAAAAAUUAGACUUAGCACAAGAUAUAUCUCCCCGCAACAAUCAUGGCUGAAUCCUUCGCAUUUAACCUUGCAGAAAUAGUCCUUUCGAAACUCGGUAAUAUUGCCAAUCAAGAAAUUCGCCAGGCUUGGGGUGUCCAGAGUAACCUUGAAGAGCUCAAGACGACUUUAACUACUAUCAAAGCUGUGCUUUUAGAUGCUGAAGAGAAACAGGCUCAUGACACUCAGCUGCGGAUUUGGCUACAACUGUUGAAGGAUGCCUGUUAUGAUGCUGAAGAUGUGUUAGACGAAUUUGAAGUCGAAGCAUUGCGGAAGCAAGUUCUGAAUCAGAGAGGCAUUGGAAAGAAGGUAAGCUAUUUCUUUUCUAGCUCAAACCCACUUGCUUUUCCAUUUAGGAUGGCCCGUAAGAUUAAAACUGUUACUGAGAGGUUUGGUAAGGUUGCUGCUUUGAAAAAUAAUUUUCAUCUCAUUGAGAGACAUGAUGGCCCUAGGCAUGCCCUGCGCCUGGACAGGGAGACUCACUCCUUUGUGCAGGCAUCAGAGAUCAUUGGCAGAGAUGAAGAGAAACAAAGAAUCAUAAAAAUGUUAAUGCAAGACUAUCCAGCUGAUGGGGAGGACAUAUCAGUCCUUCCCAUAGUCGGGAUUGGAGGUCUUGGGAAGACUGCCCUAGCCAAAUUGGUGUUCAAUGAUGAAAGUGUAGAUAGCCAUUUUGGAUUGAAACUCUGGGUGUGUGUUUCAGAUGAUUUUGAUCUCAAACGAUUAGUGGUAAGAGUCAUUAAAUCCGGAAAGGGGAGUGAUGGAGACCUUGGUAACAUGGAUUUGGAGCAAUUACAAAAGGUCUUACGAGACUGUUUGAAUGGUAAAAAGUAUUUACUUAUUCUAGAUGGUGUGGAAUGAGGAUUAUAGAAAAUGGCAAGAACUGAAACAAUUGUUAAUGGGAGGUACUGGCGGAAGCAAAAUUGUAGUCACCACUCGUAGUAACCAAGUUGCAAAGAUCACAGGCACAAUCCCCCCACACCGUUUGGAAGCUCUUCCUUAUGACAAAUCUUUCUCUUUGUUUCUCCAAUCUGCAUUCAAGAGAGGGGAAGAGAAACAACAUCCAAACCUUGUAAAAAUUGGGGAAGAAAUUGUUAAAAAAUCCAAAGGGGUUCCUUUGGUUGUGAAGGCAUUGGGGAGUUUACUAUUCACCAAAACCUCAGAACAUGAUUGGAAACUUGUGAAAGAUAGUGAGAUGUGGGAAUUAAUGGAAAAUGAAAAUGAAAUAUUUUCUAUUCUAAAACUAAGUUAUGAUCAAAUGCCUCCUUAUCUGAAGCAAUGUUUUGCCUAUUGUUCACUAUAUCCAAAGGAUUAUGAUUUUUCUGAAUUUGAGUUACUCCAAUUUUGGAUGGCUCAUGGUCUUCUUGAAUCCUCCAAUAAAACUGAAUAUUCAGAUGUUAUUGGUAGGCAGUAUUUGAACGGCCUGUUGUCACGAUCUCUUUUUCAAGAAUACGAUGACGGGCUUAUUUAUAAUACAUUUAAAAUGCAUGAUCUUUUACAUGAUCUUGCAUCAUCAGUAGCAAAGAAUGAGUGUUGUAUAGUAAAGUCUUUUGACCAAAAUAUUGGCCAAGGGAUUCGGCAUGUGUGCCUUGUUAACUCUGAAUCUCCUGGGGAAAAUGCUUCCAAGUUCUUUAAUAAAUUAGGACAGGUACGUACUCUUAGGUUUCCAGAUAUGGGAAAUGGUCCUAUAAACAAAUCCCUUAUUGAAACAUGUCUCAAGAGGUUGCAACAUUUGCGGGUGCUUGAUCUUAGUUGGUCUAAUCUCCAGGUAUUGCCCAAAAGGAUUGGGAAUUUGAAGCAUUUAAGGUAUCUCAACCUAACAGGCAAUUCCAACAUCAAGAAACUUCCCAACUCCAUUUGUAAGUUGCAAAAUUUGCAAUCUCUGUUUCUUGUUGGUUGUGACCAAAUCGAAGAGUUGCCUAAAGAUAUGAGUUAUAUGAUCAGUCUUAGAUUUUUAACAUUAACUACAAAACAAAGGGUUCUGCAUGGAUUCGAGCGCUUGAAAUCUCUUCAACAUUUAGUUAUUGUGGACUGUGGAAAUCUGGAAUAUUUGUUUGAAGGGGUUCAGAAACUCACAUCCCUUCAUACAUUGGUUAUUGGUGGUUGCAAAAACUUGGUGUCACUGCCACAUGGUUUGAAAUAUCUGACUUCAUUACAGUCUCUAAUAAUUGGGGAUUGUGAAAAGCUUGAUCUGAGUACGACGCAGGGAUUCAAAGAGACAGGAGAUAAUGAUAAUCAAGAUAACCUUGUUGAUAAUGGUCUCUGUCUUCAAAAAUUGGGGAUUGGAUAUUUACCAAAGCUGGAGGCUCUACCCCAAUGGCUUCUACGAGGAUCCACCAACACUUUAAAGUACCUGAGCAUCGAAGGAUGUGAGAACCUCACAACUUCACCAGAGUGGCACAGCGUCACAUCACUUGAAAACCUUGAGAUUAUCGCUUGCCCAAAAGUAUCAACUCUUCCACAAAAGAUGCAGUGCCUCAAACAAGUAAAGAUUCAAGAUUGUCAUGUUUUAAGUGAAAGAUGCAAACAAGAAAGCGGUGUGGAUUGGCCCAAGAUUGCUCAUGCCUCUCGUAUAUAUCUGGAUGGUACUAAAAUUUCGCUUAAGGAAUGAUCAGUCCCAUGAUUUGGGCGUGUCUCCAUUUAUUGGUAUUGGACUGGCUUCUCUUGGUGGCUGGACCAAGGUAUUGUUCAUGUAAUCCCAUAAAUGGAGUCAAGAUGUGUUUUUGGCUUGAUAUGUGUCCUAAUUGUUGGAUUGUAAUAUAGAAUCUUGCUAGUUGUGUUAUUGAUUGAUGGUUGUUUAUGGAUUGUAAUUUCUUUGUUUGCUGAUUGUUAAUUGGUUUGUUUUAUUGGGAUUGGAUUCAAGAUUUAGCCAGUUGGUUUCUUUUGAAUUUAGGUUUUGUAUCAACAUCACACAUUGUUAUUAAUUGUUUCAUCAUUAAUAAGAC
This is a non-coding RNA of Durio zibethinus, 3042 nucleotides long. NCBI's taxonomy places the organism in Eukaryota, Viridiplantae, Streptophyta, Magnoliopsida, Malvales, Malvaceae. The record is from RefSeq and is a predicted model, not a curated record.